Molecule: long non-coding RNA, 2658 nt
Organism: Pogoniulus pusillus (Red-fronted tinkerbird)
Lineage: Eukaryota; Metazoa; Chordata; Aves; Piciformes; Lybiidae
Exons: 4
Source: RefSeq, a predicted model, not a curated record
CUUCUCAUGGAAACAACCUAAUUACAAAAGAGCUAUAAAGCAGGUUUGGGGCUUGGAGCACCCUUUGGAAGCUGCUCUCAGGCCUAGGGAUGGGUGAAAGCUCGUUGGCUGCAAUGGCUUGGGGCAUACAGGCUCUGGUCCAGCUGGAGGGGAUGAGGAUGGGAAUGCUGCAGCAGCCAGACCCCAGGGGAGGAGGAAGGCUCCUUCUUGCUCAGCUGUUUGCCACCAAGGAUGUCCCUCAGAGCCUGAAUGUUGUGCCUGCCUUUGUGCCUAGCCCAGUCACUCCCAGCUUCCUCAGCACCUCCCUCCCAGACGCCCCUGGCACAGGUCCCUUUCUCCUCCGUGGCCACACCACCCCUCGGGACGUUGGGAUAGCAACUCCAGCACUGCCCAAGCAGAGCUCUCUCCAAAGGGACACUCAAAAGUCGUAAGGAUGUGGAUCUUAAUGUCCACCCAAAAUGUGCUGCAGGACAGGUUUGCUGCCAUCCAGACCACAGCUGGGCCACUUCUAUCAGAAACAGAGCUCAACUGGUUCCAUCUAAGCUGGAGACAGAACAGGGUUUGGCCCCACUGUAACAGCAGUGACGCUGAAUGCCCCACAGGGGUGCUGGAGCUGCUCUUGCUCAGGAGCUCACCUGUGCCUCCUCUUCCAGGCAGGAGCACCCAGGCUGGCUGCAUCACCUCCCCACUGGACCACCCCAACAGCCCAUGCAGGGCUCCAGCCUGGAGCUCUGGGAGGCUGAUCACAGCUCCCUGGGCAGAAUGGCUGCUCUGAGGGGCUCUAGCUGGAUCUGCAGACAGACAAGGGGAGAGAAGUCAGGUUUGUGAGCUUUGUGCCUUCUCAUUGCAGCUUCCUUGGCUAGUGGAGACAGGGAUCUGACUGAGAUUUCCACCCCUCCAUCUCACCACACUUUUCAGUUUGUCUCCUCACCCCUCAGUUAAUUCCAGCUGCCCCGAAGGACACAGGAGGCAUCCUCCAAAGACUCCAACCUGCAGGGAAGCACUGGAGGCCAGAAGAAGCAAAACAAGAUAAUGAAGCUGGAGAGGCAAUUGCCAAGAUAGGGCUGCCAAAGAAUUGAGAAGCUGCAGCUCCUGCAGUGGGAGCCUUCAGCCCAGAGAGGCAGGCACAAAGCUGCCAAAGAAAGCAGCCUUUCAUGGAGCUGAAGGUCACCCCUGGGCUGGCUGCAGGGGGACAGAGAGCAGCCACCACGGUCACCAUGGUGCUGGAAAUGUCAUGUCCAGGCAGAGCAUUCGUUUUGCUCAUCCAUUGUCUGCUCUGCUAAAGAAAGCCCUGCUGGAGGAUGAACUUCGUGGGAAGUUCUCUCCCUGCUGCUAACUUGGUGCAGUAAUAAUAACAAUAAAAAAAUAAAGGGCAGUAAUAAAGAGAAUGCAGCAUGGAGAUGCAGGCAGAGCCAGGAGGUCAAGGUGGGAAAAAAGGAAAAAAGGAAGGAGGGAGGGGAGAGAAGACCCAAAACUACACCAAACAACCCAUCAGCAGCGGCUCGACGAGGAGGAGAAGCGCUCAGGGCUGAGAAAUAAUGGUUUGAAGUUCACAUCAUUAUCAGAGGUACGUGCCCCACAUCCGCAAUGCUCUCUGAAGUGCAGCCGAGCUGGGACGCGUGAGGCGCCGCGGAGGCAGCACGGGGGGGGACAGAGUCUCUGCUCCGGGGACCGGAGAGCCACAGCAGGGGCGGCAGAGCCAAAGCAAGGACUGGAGAGCCGCAGCAGGGACGGCAGAGCCGCAGCAGAGACCCGCACAAAGCGGCGCAGCUCAGCGCCCCACGGGCUUCUGAGAGGGACCUCGCAGCGGGUCAGGGUCCUCGGCGCAGCUCCUGCCAGCGCUCGGCUCAGGGCUGAGGGCCCGAGGAGCUUGAGCUGCUCUUGUCUGACUGCAAAGGAGGUCCUUCACAGAGGUGGAUGUGAGCUGCACUGAGAUGAAGAUCUGGAUGUGGAGCUCCCCCAGGCUUUGUGGGCAGCAGGAACAUCAGGGCCAGCUCUUGGCUGAGUUUGCCACAGGAGUGUGUCCACCUCCUUGUGUCCCACCCUCAGCUGUGACCUGUAGUGAUGCUUCCGACAAGGGAAAUUCAGCUGCAGCAGGCAGAGUCUGAGAAGGUGAGGAGAGGAACAUCCAAAAGCUUCACCUCAAGGUGCCACCUGGCCAGAUCUGAAAGUGCAGUGUUGCCUUGCUUGGGUGAAGCCAUCUUAGCUCUGGUGGCCUGAGCAUCACCAGGGCUCUGCCCACUCGUGGGGCUGGCUGUGUUUUACAGCUGAGGGGAGCCCUGAAAGCAUGAGCAGCACAUCCCAAGCAGGAUCUCUUGGUCUUGGAUUCCUGGAGCCAGAGGUGAAGCUGAGCUGGGGAGGUCUGUGGUUGCAGACCUCUGCCUUGGCAGGGGCAGGGAGGGGUUUGGGCUGAGAUCUCCUGUGUUUGGCUUUGGCACUUCGGCCUUUCAGAUUUGUCUGGGGAACAGCAAUAACAAAAGGGUCCAAACAGCUAAAGGUCUGUGGCCAAGCAAGGAGGGGACCAAAGGAUUCCAGGGCUGGGACCUCCCACCCGCAGAUGGGGAUGAGCUCCACCACGGCCACUCGGGUGACUCCUGGUGCCCCUCGUCUGUGCUGAUGCUCAGAUGGCAUCGUGAGGAUGCUUCGUGGGGGUGCCAG